AGUGAACGCUGGCGGUAGGCCUAACACAUGCAAGUCGAACGGCAGCACAGUAAGAGCUUGCUCUUACGGGUGGCGAGUGGCGGACGGGUGAGGAAUACAUCGGAAUCUACUUUUUCGUGGGGGAUAACGUAGGGAAACUUACGCUAAUACCGCAUACGACCUACGGUUGAAAGCAGGGGAUCUUCGGACCUUGCGCGAUUGAAUGAGCCGAUGUCGGAUUAGCUAGUUGGCGGGGUAAAGGCCCACCAAGGCGACGAUCCGUAGCUGGUCUGAGAGGAUGAUCAGCCACACUGGAAGUGAGACACGGUCCAGACUCCUACGGGAGGCAGCAGUGGGGAAUAGUGGACAAUGGGCGCAAGCCUGAUCCAGCCAUACCGCGUGGGUGAAGAAGGCCUUCGGGUUGUAAAGCCCUUUUGUUGGGAAAGAAAAGCAGCAGGUUAAUACCCCGCUGUUCUGACGGUACCCAAAGAAUAAGCACCGGCUAACUUCGUG
RNAcentral lists this ribosomal RNA (492 nucleotides) under uncultured bacterium. Its description in RNAcentral is "partial 16S ribosomal RNA". It matches the Rfam family "Bacterial small subunit ribosomal RNA", at positions 29 to 507 of the family's 1533-position model. The record is from RNAcentral.